AUAUUGGUCAAUGGACGCAAGUCUGAACCAGCCAUGCCGCGUGGAGGAUGAAGGUCCUCUGGAUUGUAAACUCCUUUUAUCUGAGAAGAAACCCAAGAUUUCUAUUUUGGUUGACGGUACCAGAUGAAUAAGCACCGGCUAACUCCGUGCCAGCAGCCGCGGUAAUACGGAGGGUGCAAGCGUUAUCCGGAUUCACUGGGUUUAAAGGGUGCGUAGGUGGGUUGCCAAGUCCGUGGUGAAAUCUCCGAGCUUAACUCGGAAACUGCCGUGGAUACUGGUAAUCUUGAAUAUCGUGGAGGUAAGCGGAAUAUGUCAUGUAGCGGUGAAAUGCUUAGAUAUGACAUAGAACACCGAUAGCGAAGGCAGCUUGCUACACGAUUAUUGACACUGAGGCACGAAAGCGUGGGGAGCAAAC
This 415-nucleotide ribosomal RNA is filed under the name uncultured bacterium. RNAcentral's name for it is "bacterial SSU rRNA". It matches the Rfam family "Bacterial small subunit ribosomal RNA", at positions 361 to 773 of the family's 1533-position model. The record is from RNAcentral.